RNAcentral lists this ribosomal RNA (253 nucleotides) under uncultured bacterium. Its description in RNAcentral is "partial 16S ribosomal RNA". It matches the Rfam family "Bacterial small subunit ribosomal RNA", at positions 524 to 776 of the family's 1533-position model. The record is from RNAcentral.
UACGUAGGGCGCAAGCGUUGUCCGGAAUUAUUGGGCGUAAAGAGCUCGUAGGUGGUUUGUCGCGUUGUUCGUGAAAUCUCACGGCUUAACUGUGAGCGUGCGGGCGAUACGGGCAGACUAGAGUACUGCAGGGGAGACUGGAAUUCCUGGUGUAGCGGUGGAAUGCGCAGAUAUCAGGAGGAACACCGGUGGCGAAGGCGGGUCUCUGGGCAGUAACUGACGCUGAGGAGCGAAAGUGUGGGGAGCGAACAGG